RNAcentral lists this unclassified non-coding RNA (312 nucleotides) under uncultured fungus. RNAcentral's name for it is "partial contains 5.8S ribosomal RNA and internal transcribed spacer 2". The stretch from base 1 to 133 matches the Rfam family "5.8S ribosomal RNA", at positions 22 to 154 of the family's 154-position model. Lineage: Eukaryota; Fungi. The record is from RNAcentral.
UGGUUCUGGCAUCGAUGAAGAACGCAGCGAAAUGCGAUAAGUAAUGUGAAUUGCAGAAUUCAGUGAAUCAUCGAAUCUUUGAACGCACAUUGCGCCCUUUGGUAUUCCGAGGGGCAUGCCUGUUCGGGCGUCAUUACAACCAUCAAGCUCUGCUUGGUAUUGAGCAAUACUAGUAAUAGUCUGCUUUAAAUCUAGUGGCAGUGCCACCUGGCCCUGAGCGAAGUAAUAAUUAUCGCUAUAGGCUCCAGGGGGAUGUCUGCUAGGACAUCUAAUUUUCAGGUUGACCUCGGAUCAGGUAGGGAUACCCGCUGA